RNAcentral lists this ribosomal RNA (616 nucleotides) under Sphingomonadaceae bacterium Ri3Pw_6431. RNAcentral's name for it is "bacterial SSU rRNA". It matches the Rfam family "Bacterial small subunit ribosomal RNA", at positions 396 to 1030 of the family's 1533-position model. Lineage: Bacteria; Pseudomonadati; Pseudomonadota; Alphaproteobacteria; Sphingomonadales; Sphingomonadaceae. The record is from RNAcentral.
GCCGCGUGAGGUGAUGAAGGCCUUAUGGUUGUAAAGCUCUUUUACCCGGGAAGAUAAUGACUGUACCGGGAGAAUAAGCUCCGGCUAACUCCAUGCCAGCAGCCGCGGUAAUACGGAGGGAGCUAGCGUUGUUCGGAAUUACUGGGCGUAAAGCGCACGUAGGCGGCUUUGUAAGUGAGAGGUGAAAGCCUGGGGCUCAACUCCAGAAUUGCCUUUAAAACUGCAUCGCUGGAAUCGAGGAGAGGCGGGUGGAAUUCCCAGUGUAGAGGUGAAAUUCGUAGAGUUUCGGAAAAACGCCAAUGGCGAAGGCGGCCCGCUGGACGUGUAUGGACGCUAAUGUGCAAAAGCGUGGGGUGCAAACAGGAUUAGAUACCCUGGUAGUCCACGCCAUACACGAUGAUAACUAGCUGUCCGGGAACUUGGCGCUUGGGUGGCGCAACUCACGGAGUAAGUUAUCCGCCUGGGGAGUACGGCCGCAAGGUUAAAACUCACAGAAAUUGACGGCGGCCUGCACAAGCGGUGGAGCAUGUGGUUUAAUUCAACGCGACGCGCAGAACCUUACCAACGUUUGACAUGUCUAGUAUGAUUUUCAGCAGAUGAAUCUCUUCAGAUCGGC